This 91-nucleotide non-coding RNA is filed under the name Arenimonas malthae. RNAcentral's name for it is "SAH sequence". It matches the Rfam family "SAH (S-adenosyl-L-homocysteine) riboswitch aptamer". Lineage: Bacteria; Pseudomonadati; Pseudomonadota; Gammaproteobacteria; Lysobacterales; Lysobacteraceae. The record is from RNAcentral.
CCCGCCGAGGGGCGCUGCAAGCCCGGCCCGCGCAAUGCGGGCAAGGGAUCAGGCUCGGCGAAGGUUCCAAGAGCAACCGCGCCCGUUAACG